Molecule: transfer RNA, 81 nt
Filed under: Veillonella sp.
Lineage: Bacteria; Bacillati; Bacillota; Negativicutes; Veillonellales; Veillonellaceae
Description: tRNA-Glu
Rfam family: tRNA (bases 6-66)
About the family: Transfer RNA (tRNA) molecules are approximately 80 nucleotides in length. Their secondary structure includes four short double-helical elements and three loops (D, anti-codon, and T loops). Further hydrogen bonds mediate the characteristic L-shaped molecular structure. tRNAs have two regions of fundamental functional importance: the anti-codon, which is responsible for specific mRNA codon recognition, and the 3' end, to which the tRNAs corresponding amino acid is attached (by aminoacyl-tRNA synthetases). tRNAs cope with the degeneracy of the genetic code in two manners: having more than one tRNA (with a specific anti-codon) for a particular amino acid; and 'wobble' base-pairing, i.e. permitting non-standard base-pairing at the 3rd anti-codon position.
Source: RNAcentral
GGCCCGUUGGUCAAGCGGUUAAGACACCGCCCUUUCACGGCGGUAUCCCGGGUUCGAUUCCCGGACCCGGACGGGUCACCA